GACGAACGCUGGCGGCGUGCUUAACACAUGCAAGUCGAACGGAAAGGCCCUGCUUUUGUGGGGUGCUCGAGUGGCGAACGGGUGAGUAACACGUUAGUAACCUGCCCUUGACUUUGGGAUAACUUCAGGAAACUGGGGCUAAUACCGGAUAGGAGCUCCUGCUGCAUGGUGGGGGUUGGAAAGUUUCGGCGGUUGGGGAUGGACUCGCGGCUUAUCAGCUUGUUGGUGGGGUAGUGGCUUACCAAGGCUUUGACGGGUAGCCGGCCUGAGAGGGUGACCGGCCGCAUUGGGACUGAGAUACGGCCCAGACUCCUACGGGAGGCAGCAGUGGGGAAUAUUGCACAAUGGGCGGAAGCCUGAUGCAGCAACGCCGCGUGCGGGAUGACGGCCUUCGGGUUGUAAACCGCUUUCGCCUGUGACGAAGCGUGAGUGACGGUAAUGGGUAAAGAAGCACCGGCUAACUACGUG
RNAcentral lists this ribosomal RNA (468 nucleotides) under uncultured bacterium. Its description in RNAcentral is "partial 16S ribosomal RNA". It matches the Rfam family "Bacterial small subunit ribosomal RNA", at positions 28 to 507 of the family's 1533-position model. The record is from RNAcentral.